This 498-nucleotide ribosomal RNA is filed under the name uncultured bacterium. Its description in RNAcentral is "bacterial SSU rRNA". It matches the Rfam family "Bacterial small subunit ribosomal RNA", at positions 28 to 526 of the family's 1533-position model. The record is from RNAcentral.
GAUGAACGCUGGCGGCGUGCUUAACACAUGCAAGUCGAACGAAGCACUUAAACGGAUCUCUUCGGAGAGAAGCUUUUGUGACUGAGUGGCGGACGGGUGAGUAACGCGUGGGCAACCUGCCUUGCACUGGGGGAUAACAGUUGGAAACGACUGCUAAUACCGCAUAAGCGCACAGUAUCGCAUGAUACAGUGUGAAAAACUCCGGUGGUGUAAGAUGGGCCCGCGUUUGAUUAGCUAGUUGGUAAGGUAACGGCUUACCAAGGCUGCGAUCAAUAGCCGACCUGAGAGGGUGACCGGCCACAUUGGGACUGAGACACGGCCCAAACUCCUACGGGAGGCAGCAGUGGGGAAUAUUGCACAAUGGGGGAAACCCUGAUGCAGCGACGCCGCGUGGAGGAUGACGUAUUUCGGUAUGUAAACUCCUAUCAGCAGGGAAGAUAAUGACGGUACCUGACUAAGAAGCCCCGGCUAACUACGUGCCAGCCGCCGCAGUAACAC